RNAcentral lists this ribosomal RNA (154 nucleotides) under uncultured bacterium. RNAcentral describes it as "partial 16S ribosomal RNA". It matches the Rfam family "Bacterial small subunit ribosomal RNA", at positions 338 to 507 of the family's 1533-position model. The record is from RNAcentral.
CCUACGGGAGGCAGCAGUGGGGAAUUUUCCGCAAUGGGCGAAAGCCUGACGGAGCAAUACCGCGUGAGGGAGGACGGCUUUUGGGUUGUAAACCUCUUUUAUCAGGGAAGAAUCGAUGACGGUACCUGAUGAAUCAGCAUCGGCUAACUCCGUG